GAGUGAUCAAGUGUCUUAAGGGCAUUUGGUGGAUGCCUUGGCAUGCACAGGCGAUGAAGGACGUGAUACGCUGCGAUAAGCGUCGGGGAGGUGCGAAUACCCUUUGAUCCGACGAUUUCCGAAUGGGGCAACCCACCUUAGAUGACUAGAAAAUCUGUUUUGUUGGAGCAACGCUGGAUGGGUUUACACCCAUACAGACCGCUAGGUCGUCGGCCCAUGUGGGCCGCCCCCGCGGAGCGCCAGCAUUCCUCUGGAAUGCGUACGGCGCGUGAGCGAGAACAGCACAGCUUUCUAGUCAUCAUAAAUAAGGUAUCUAACCUUGAAUACAUAGGGGUUAGAAGCGAACCUGGGGAACUGAAACAUCUAAGUACCCAGAGGAAAGGACAUCAAACGAGACUCCGCUAGUAGUGGCGAGCGAACGCGGACCAGGCCAGUGGCUUUUGUGAAUAAAGUGGAACGAGUUGGAAAACUCGACCGAAGUGGGUGAUAGUCCCGUACACGUAGAAUAGCAGAAGUCCUUGAGUAGGGCGGGACACGUGAAAUCCUGUCUGAACAUGGGUCGACCACGAUCCAAGCCUAAGUACUCGUGCAUGACCGAUAGCGAACCAGUACCGUGAGGGAAAGGUGAAAAGCACCCCGACGAGGGGAGUGAAACAGUACCUGAAACCGGAUGCCUACAAACAGUUGGAGCCCAAGGUUUGUCCUGGGUGACAGCGUACCUUUUGUAUAAUGGGUCAGCGACUUAGUGUAUCGAGCAAGCUUAAGCCGGUAGGUGUAGGCGCAGCGAAAGCGAGUCUGAACAGGGCGUUCAGUUCGAUGCAUUAGACCCGAAACCAAGUGAUCUAGCCAUGAGCAGGUUGAAGGUACGGUAACACGUACUGGAGGACCGAACCCAUAUCUGUUGCAAUAGAUCGGGAUGACUUGUGGCUAGGGGUGAAAGGCCAAUCAAACUUGGAGAUAGCUGGUUCUCCGCGAAAUCUAUUUAGGUAGAGCGUCGACCGAAUACCCCCGGGGGUAGAGCACUGGAUGGGCUAUGGGGACUCACCGUCUUACUGAUCCUAACCAAACUCCGAAUACCGGGGAGUACUAGUCGGCAGACACACGGCGGGUGCUAACGUCCGUCGUGGAGAGGGCAACAACCCUGACCACCAUCUAAGGUCCCUAAGUUAUGGCUAAGUGGGAAAGGAUGUGAGGAUCCCAAAACAACCAGGAUGUUGGCUUAGAAGCAGCCAUCAUUUAAAGAAAGCGUAACAGCUCACUGGUCUAAAUAAGGGUCUUUGCGCCGAAAAUGUACCGGGGCUCAAGCCAUACACCGAAGCUGUGGAUGCACGUAUGUGCGUGGUAGCGGAGCGUUCCGUAAGCCUGUGAAGGGACAGUCGUGAGACAUCCUGGAGGUAUCGGAAGUGAGAAUGCUGACAUGAGUAACGAUAAAGGGAGUGAGAGACUCCCUCGCCGAAAGUCCAAGGGUUCCUGCUUAAAGUUAAUCUGAGCAGGGUUAGCCGGCCCCUAAGGCGAGGCCGAAAGGCGUAGUCGAUGGGAACCACGUUAAUAUUCGUGGGCCUGCAGGUGGUGACGGAUCGCGUGUGUUGUGAGGUCUUAUUGGAUUGAUCUUGCAGCGAAGCGGUUCCAGGAAAUAGCUCCUGCAUAUAGACCGUACCCUAAACCGACACUGGUGGACUGGUAGAGAAUACCAAGGCGCUUGAGAGAACUGCGUUGAAGGAACUCGGCAAAAUGCACGCGUAACUUCGGAAGAAGCGUGACCUCACUAUGGGCAACCAUAGGGGGGUGGCACAGACCAGGGGGUAGCGACUGUUUACCAAAAACACAGGGCUCUGCGAAGUCGCAAGACGACGUAUAGGGUCUGACGCCUGCCCGGUGCUGGAAGGUUAAGAGGAGAGGUGCAAGCCUUGAAUUGAAGCCCCAGUAAACGGCGGCCGUAACUAUAACGGUCCUAAGGUAGCGAAAUUCCUUGUCGGGUAAGUUCCGACCUGCACGAAUGGCGUAACGACUUCCCCGCUGUCUCCAACGCAGACUCAGUGAAAUUGAAUUCCCCGUGAAGAUGCGGGGUUCCUGCGGUUAGACGGAAAGACCCCGUGCACCUUUACUAUAGCUUUACACUGGCAUUCGUGACGACAUGUGUAGGAUAGGUGGUAGACUUUGAAGCAGGGGCGCCAGCCUUUGUGGAGUCACCCUUGAAAUACCACCCUUGUUUUUAUGGAU
This 2220-nucleotide ribosomal RNA is filed under the name Brucella abortus. RNAcentral's name for it is "bacterial LSU rRNA". It matches the Rfam family "Bacterial large subunit ribosomal RNA", at positions 1 to 2219 of the family's 2925-position model. Lineage: Bacteria; Pseudomonadati; Pseudomonadota; Alphaproteobacteria; Hyphomicrobiales; Brucellaceae. The record is from RNAcentral.